UACGAAGGGGGCUAGCGUUGCUCGGAAUUACUGGGCGUAAAGCGUGCGUAGACGGUUUCGUAAGUCGGGUGUGAAAGCCCCGGGCUCAACCUGGGAAUUGCAUUCGAGACUGCGUAGCUAGGGUGCGGAAGAGGGAAGCGGAAUUUCCGGUGUAGCGGUGAAAUGCGUAGAUAUCGGAAGGAACAUCAGUGGCGAAAGCGGCUUCCUGGUCCAGCACCGACGUUCAGGCACGAAAGCGUGGGGAGCAAACAGG
Molecule: ribosomal RNA, 253 nt
Filed under: uncultured bacterium
Lineage: Bacteria
Description: partial 16S ribosomal RNA
Rfam family: Bacterial small subunit ribosomal RNA
Source: RNAcentral